Molecule: ribosomal RNA, 450 nt
Filed under: uncultured bacterium
Lineage: Bacteria
Description: partial 16S ribosomal RNA
Rfam family: Bacterial small subunit ribosomal RNA
Source: RNAcentral
GUGGGGAAUAUUGGACAAUGGGCGCAAGCCUGAUCCAGCAAUGCCGCGUGCAGGAAGAAGGCCUUCGGGUUGUAAACUGCUUUUGUACGGAACGAAACGGUCCGGGCUAAUACCCUGGGCUAAUGACGGUACCGUAAGAAUAAGCACCGGCUAACUACGUGCCAGCAGCCGCGGUAAUACGUAGGGUGCAAGCGUUAAUCGGAAUUACUGGGCGUAAAGCGUGCGCAGGCGGUUUUGUAAGACAGGCGUGAAAUCCCCGGGCUCAACCUGGGAAUUGCGCUUGUGACUGCAAGGCUGGAGUGCGGCAGAGGGGGAUGGAAUUCCGCGUGUAGCAGUGAAAUGCGUAGAUAUGCGGAGGAACACCGAUGGCGAAGGCAAUCCCCUGGGCCUGCACUGACGCUCAUGCACGAAAGCGUGGGGAGCAAACAGGAUUAGAAACCCCAGUAGUCC